RNAcentral lists this ribosomal RNA (253 nucleotides) under uncultured bacterium. RNAcentral describes it as "partial 16S ribosomal RNA". It matches the Rfam family "Bacterial small subunit ribosomal RNA", at positions 524 to 776 of the family's 1533-position model. The record is from RNAcentral.
UACGUAGGGUGCAGGCGUUAAUCGGAAUUACUGGGCGUAAAGCGUGCGCAGGCGGUUUGCUAAGACAGGUGUGAAAUCCCCGGGCUUAACCUGGGAACUGCGCUUGUUACUGGCAAGCUGGAGUGUGGCAGAGGGGGGUGGAAUUCCACGUGUAGCGGUGAAAUGCGUAGAGAUGUGGAGGAACACCGAUGGCGAAGGCAGCCCCCUGGGCUGAGAUUGACGCUCAGGCACGAAAGCGUGGGGAGCAAACAGG